RNAcentral lists this ribosomal RNA (335 nucleotides) under uncultured bacterium. RNAcentral describes it as "bacterial SSU rRNA". It matches the Rfam family "Bacterial small subunit ribosomal RNA", at positions 8 to 334 of the family's 1533-position model. The record is from RNAcentral.
AGGGUUUGAUUAUGGCUCAGGAUGAACGCUAGCUACAGGCUUAACACAUGCAAGUCGCGGGGCAGCAUGAAGUCAGCUUGCUGACUUUGAUGGCGACCGGCGCACGGGUGAGUAACGCGUAUCCAACCUGCCUGUUACCACGGCACAGCCCGUCGAAAGGCGGAUUAAUGCCGUAUGUGGUCCUUUGCGGGCAUCUAAUUAGGACUAAAGGUUCGGCGGUAACGGAUGGGGAUGCGUCCGAUUAGCUAGACGGCGGGGUAACGGCCCACCGUGGCGACGAUCGGUAGGGGUUCUGAGAGGAAGGUCCCCCACACUGGAACUGAGACACGGUCCAG